GCCAGUGUGGUGUAGUGGUUUGAGUAUUGGACUAUGACGCUGGAGACCAGGAUUUGAUUCCCUGCUCAGUCA
This 72-nucleotide transfer RNA is filed under the name Phrynosoma platyrhinos (Desert horned lizard). RNAcentral describes it as "tRNA-OTHER". The record is from RNAcentral. Lineage: Eukaryota; Metazoa; Chordata; Lepidosauria; Squamata; Phrynosomatidae.